ACAUUUCGCCCAACUGGUAGGGCGAUCGAAAUUCAAUCGAUAGGCUGAGGGUUCAAGUCCCUCAAUGUCCC
Molecule: transfer RNA, 71 nt
Filed under: Nannocystis sp.
Lineage: Bacteria; Pseudomonadati; Myxococcota; Nannocystales; Nannocystaceae
Description: tRNA-Glu
Rfam family: tRNA
About the family: Transfer RNA (tRNA) molecules are approximately 80 nucleotides in length. Their secondary structure includes four short double-helical elements and three loops (D, anti-codon, and T loops).
Source: RNAcentral